GCUCAGAACUCAAAGGAAUUGACGGGGCCCGCACAAGCGGAGGAGCAUGUGGUUUAAUUCGAUGAUACGCGAGGAACCUUACCUGGGCUCGAACGUAAGAUGACUGUAGGUGAAAGCUUACAUCUCUUCGGAGCAUUUUACGAGGUGCUGCAUGGUUGUCGUCAGCUCGUGCCGUGAGGUGUCGGGUUAAGUCCCAUAACGAGCGCAACCCCUACCUUUAGUUGCCAUCAGGUUAAGCUGGGGACUCUAAAGGAACUGCCUACGCAAGUAGUGAGGAAGGCGGGGAUGACGUCAAAUCAGCACGGCCCUUACGUCCAGGGCUACACACGUGCUACAAUGGCCGAUACAGAGGGCAGCUACCUGGUGACAGGAUGCAAAUCUCCAAAGUCGGUCUCAGUUCGGAUCGGAGUCUGCAACCCGACUCCGUGAAGUUGGAUUCGCUAGUAAUCGCGCAUCAGCCAUGGCGCGGUGAAUACGUUCCCGGGCCUU
This 489-nucleotide ribosomal RNA is filed under the name uncultured Sphingobacteriales bacterium. RNAcentral's name for it is "bacterial SSU rRNA". It matches the Rfam family "Bacterial small subunit ribosomal RNA", at positions 892 to 1382 of the family's 1533-position model. The record is from RNAcentral. Lineage: Bacteria; Pseudomonadati; Bacteroidota; Sphingobacteriia; Sphingobacteriales.